GACGAACCGUGCGAACGUUGUUCGGAAUCACUGGGCUUAAAGGGCGCGUAGGCGGCUUGCCAAGUCAGUGGUGAAAGCCCACAGCUUAACUGUGGAAGUGCCUUUGAUACUGGCGAGCUCGAGGGAGGUAGGGGUAUGUGGAACUUCUGGUGAAGCGGUGAAAUGCGUUGAUAUCAGAAGGAACGCCGGUGGCGAAAGCGACGUACUGGACCUCUUCUGACGCUGAGGCGCGAAAGCUAGGGGAG
RNAcentral lists this ribosomal RNA (245 nucleotides) under uncultured bacterium. RNAcentral's name for it is "partial 16S ribosomal RNA". It matches the Rfam family "Bacterial small subunit ribosomal RNA", at positions 524 to 768 of the family's 1533-position model. The record is from RNAcentral.